Molecule: ribosomal RNA, 523 nt
Filed under: uncultured bacterium
Lineage: Bacteria
Description: bacterial SSU rRNA
Rfam family: Bacterial small subunit ribosomal RNA
Source: RNAcentral
AGAGUUUGAUCCUGGCUCAGGAUUAACGCUAGCGGCAGGCCUAAUACAUGCAAGUCGAACGGGAUUCAAAGUAGCAAUAUUUUGAUGAGAGUGGCGCACGGGUGAGUAACACGUAUGCAAUUUACCUUUAACUGGGGGAUAGCCCUCCGAAAGGAGGAUUACUACCGCAUAAUAUAUUGAAAUGGCAUCAUUUUAAUAUUAAACCUACGGGGGUUAAAGAUGAGCAUGCAUCCGAUUAGCUAGUUGGUGUGGUAACGGCUCACCAAGGCAACGAUCGGUAGGGGGUCUGAGAGGAUGAUCCCCCACACUGGUACUGAGACACGGACCAGACUCCUACGGGAGGCAGCAGUAAGGAAUAUUGGACAAUGGAGGCAACUCUGAUCCAGCCAUGCCGCGUGAAGGAUUAAGGCCCUAUGGGUUGUAAACUUCUUUUAGACGGGACAAAACCCCUUUACGUGUAAAGGGUUGAUGGUACUGUCAGAAUAAGCAUCGGCUAACUUCGUGCCAGCAGCCGCGGUAAUAU